GAUGAAGAACGUAGCGAAAUGCGAUACUUGGUGUGAAUUGCAGAAUCCCGUGAACCAUCGAGUCUUUGAACGCAAGUUGCGCCCGAAGCCAUUAGGCCGAGGGCACGCCUGCCUGGGCGUCACACGUCGUUGCCCCCCCAUCUACUCCUUCGGGAUUGCGGGGGGCGGAUGAUGGCCUUCCGUGCGCCUCGCCGCGCGGUUGGCAUAAAUGCCAAGUCCUCGGCGACGCACGCCACGACAAUCGGUGGUUGCGAAACCUCGGUUGCCCGUCGUGUGCGGUCGUCGCGCAUCGAGGGCUCGAAAAAAUUGCCGGGUUCCGGCUCGGCUUUCAACGCGACCCCAGGUCAGGCGGGGUUACCCGCUGAAUUUAAGCAUAUCAAUAAGCGGAGGA
This 391-nucleotide unclassified non-coding RNA is filed under the name soil metagenome. Its description in RNAcentral is "partial contains 5.8S ribosomal RNA, internal transcribed spacer 2, and large subunit ribosomal RNA". The stretch from base 1 to 122 matches the Rfam family "5.8S ribosomal RNA", at positions 35 to 154 of the family's 154-position model. The record is from RNAcentral.